UCGACUGUGCCGCUUAUAGCGCGCUGGACUUUCGGCCAAGAAAGGUCGAGGGUUCGAGUCCUGCUUCCCUGCCUGUUUCAUUACACUGGUGUCAGAAGUGGAUCGGACCUUGCAGCCACGACAGUGCGCGUGCUUGGCCGGUGAGAGUGUGUGUGUGUGCGCGCGCGCGUUCCUGUAAAAAGACGUAGGGUUCGCAAGCCAGCGCGAGGACGCGCUCUAUGAAAAAGGAGGGAUGAGUGUAACGACCCCUGGGGUUUAAUUAAUAAGGGCCAGAAGGUCGACGGUUCGAGACCUGCAUCAUUACAAUACGAACGGAUGUCUAAGCCCCAGAAUGGUGAGCCAGGCAGCCCAGCAGGAGCCCCAGCAGCAGAUGAUCCAGAGGUGAUGUUCCAGGUGCCUGGUCCAACCGUCUCCUUCUCCAGACUACACUACUCUGUCAUGGAGAGCAAUGGACUCUGCCACAA
Long non-coding RNA from Oncorhynchus tshawytscha (Chinook salmon), 464 nucleotides. RefSeq lists it as uncharacterized. The transcript has 2 exons. NCBI's taxonomy places the organism in Eukaryota, Metazoa, Chordata, Actinopteri, Salmoniformes, Salmonidae. The record is from RefSeq and is a predicted model, not a curated record.